Molecule: ribosomal RNA, 484 nt
Filed under: uncultured bacterium
Lineage: Bacteria
Description: partial 16S ribosomal RNA
Rfam family: Bacterial small subunit ribosomal RNA
Source: RNAcentral
AUUGAACGCUGGCGGCAGGCCUAACACAUGCAAGUCGAGCGGAUGAAGGGAGCUUGCUCCUGGAUUCAGCGGCGGACGGGUGAGUAAUGCCUAGGAAUCUGCCUGGUAGUGGGGGAUAACGUCCGGAAACGGGCGCUAAUACCGCAUACGUCCUGAGGGAGAAAGUGGGGGAUCUUCGGACCUCACGCUAUUAGAUGAGCCUAGGUCGGAUUAGCUAGUUGGUGGGGUAAAGGCCUACCAAGGCGACGAUCCGUAACUGGUCUGAGAGGAGGAUCGGUCACACUGGAACUGAGACACGGUCCAGACUCCUACGGGAAGCAGCAGUAGGGAAUAUUGGGCAAAGGGCGAAAGCCUGAUCCAGCCAUGCCGCGUGGGUGAAGAAGGUCUUCGGAUUGUAAAGCACUUUAAGUUGGGAGGAAGGGCAGUAAGUUCAUACCUUGCUGUUUUGACGGUACCAACAGAAUAAGCACCGGCUAACUUCGUG